This 460-nucleotide ribosomal RNA is filed under the name uncultured Treponema sp. RNAcentral describes it as "bacterial SSU rRNA". It matches the Rfam family "Bacterial small subunit ribosomal RNA", at positions 341 to 792 of the family's 1533-position model. Lineage: Bacteria; Pseudomonadati; Spirochaetota; Spirochaetia; Treponematales; Treponemataceae. The record is from RNAcentral.
ACGGAAGGCAGCAGCUAGGAAUAUUCCGCAAUGGACGCAAGCCUGACGGAGCGACGCCGCGUGGAUGAUGAAGGCCGGAAGGAUGUAAAAUCCUUUUAUAACUGAGGAAUAAGUAUUAUCAGAGAAAGGAAGUAUGGUGACUGUAGGUUAUGAAUAAGCAACGGCUAAUUACGUGCCAGCAGCCGCGGUAACACGUAAGUUGCGAGCGUUGUUCGGAAUUAUUGGGCGUAAAGGGCAUGUAGGCGGUUUUGCAAGCUUGGUGUGAAAUCCCGGAGCUCAACUCCGGAAUUGCGUUGAGAACUGCAUAACUAGAGUCACUGAGGGGCAAUCAGAAUUCCAGGUGUAGGGGUGAAAUCUGUAGAUAUCUGGAAGAAUACCAAUGGCGAAGGCAGGUUACCAGCAGAUGACUGACGCUGAGGUGCGAAGGUGCGGGGAGCAAACAGGAUUAGAUACCCUGGUA